GUGGAUUAGAUACCCUGGUAGUCCACGCUGUAAACGAUGGGCACUAGGUGUGGGGGGUGUCGACUCCCUCCGUGCGGAAGCUAACGCAUUAAGUGCCCCGCCUGGGGAGUACGGCCGCAAGGCUAAAACUCAAAGGAAUUGACGGGGGCCCGCACAAGCAGCGGAGCAUGUGGUUUAAUUCGACGCAACGCGAAGAACCUUACCUGGGCUUGACAUGUUCCUGAUCUCCCUGGAAACAGGGCUUCCCUUCGGGGCAGGAUCACAGGUGGUGCAUGGUCGUCGUCAACU
This 288-nucleotide ribosomal RNA is filed under the name uncultured bacterium. RNAcentral describes it as "partial 16S ribosomal RNA". It matches the Rfam family "Bacterial small subunit ribosomal RNA", at positions 773 to 1060 of the family's 1533-position model. The record is from RNAcentral.